This 406-nucleotide ribosomal RNA is filed under the name uncultured bacterium. Its description in RNAcentral is "partial 16S ribosomal RNA". It matches the Rfam family "Bacterial small subunit ribosomal RNA", at positions 30 to 526 of the family's 1533-position model. The record is from RNAcentral.
AUUGAACGCUGGCGGCAGGCCUAACACAUGCAAGUCGAACGAGUGGCGGACGGGUGAGUAACGUCUGGGAAACUGCCUGAUGGAGGGGGAUAACUACUGGAAACGGUCGCUAAUACCGCAUACCAUCAGAUGUGCCCAGGUGGGAUUAGCUAGUUGGUGGGGUAACGGCUCACCAAGGCGACGAUCCCUAGCUGGUCUGAGAGGAUGACCAGCCACACUGGUACUGAGACACGGUCCAGACUCCUACGGGAGGCAGCAGUGGGGAAUAUUGCACAAUGGGCGCAACCCUGAUGCAGCCAUGCCGCGUGUAUGAAGAAGGCCUUCGGAUUGUAAAGUACUUUCGUCAGGGAAGCGUUACCCGAAGAAGAAGCACCGGCUAACUCCGUGCCAGCAGCCGCGGUAAUAC